RNAcentral lists this ribosomal RNA (761 nucleotides) under uncultured microorganism. RNAcentral's name for it is "partial 16S ribosomal RNA". It matches the Rfam family "Bacterial small subunit ribosomal RNA", at positions 1 to 797 of the family's 1533-position model. The record is from RNAcentral.
GGCCGCGGGAAUUCGAUUAGAGUUCGAUCCUGGCUCAGAACGAACGCUGGCGGCAGGCUUAACACAUGCAAGUCGAGCGAGGACUUCGGUUCUAGCGGCGGACGGGUGAGUAACGCGUGGGAACGUGCCCUUUUCUACGGAAUAGCCUCGGGAAACUGAGAGUAAUACCGUAUACGCCCUUUUGGGGAAAGAUUUAUCGGAGAAGGAUCGGCCCGCGUUGGAUUAGGUAGUUGGUGGGGUAACGGCCUACCAAGCCGACGAUCCAUAGCUGGUCUGAGAGGAUGAUCAGCCACAUUGGGACUGAGACACGGCCCAAACUCCUACGGGAGGCAGCAGUGGGGAAUAUUGGACAAUGGGCGCAAGCCUGAUCCAGCCAUGCCGCGUGAGUGAUGAAGGUCUUAGGAUUGUAAAGCUCUUUCAACGGUGAAGAUAAUGACGGUAACCGUAGAAGAAGCCCCGGCUAACUUCGUGCCAGCAGCCGCGGUAAUACGAAGGGGGCUAGCGUUGUUCGGAAUUACUGGGCGUAAAGCGCGCGUAGGCGGGUAUUUAAGUCAGGGGUGAAAUCCCAGAGCUCAACUCUGGAACUGCCUUUGAUACUGGGUACCUAGAGUCCGGAAGAGGUGAGUGGAAUUGCGAGUGUAGAGGUGAAAUUCGUAGAUAUUCGCAGGAACACCAGUGGCGAAGGCGGCUCACUGGUCCGGUACUGACGCUGAGGUGCGAAAGCGUGGGGAGCAAACAGGAUUAGAUACCCCUGUAGUCCA